Molecule: ribosomal RNA, 551 nt
Filed under: uncultured bacterium
Lineage: Bacteria
Description: bacterial SSU rRNA
Rfam family: Bacterial small subunit ribosomal RNA
Source: RNAcentral
UAGGGAAUCUUCGGCAAUGGGGGCAACCCUGACCGAGCAACGCCGCGUGAGUGAAGAAGGUUUUCGGAUCGUAAAGCUCUGUUGUAAGUCAAGAACGAGUGUGAGAGUGGAAAGUUCACACUGUGACGGUAGCUUACCAGAAAGGGACGGCUAACUACGUGCCAGCAGCCGCGGUAAUACGUAGGUCCCGAGCGUUGUCCGGAUUUAUUGGGCGUAAAGCGAGCGCAGGCGGUUUGAUAAGUCUGAAGUUAAAGGCUGUGGCUCAACCAUAGUUCGCUUUGGAAACUGUCAAACUUGAGUGCAGAAGGGGAGAGUGGAAUUCCAUGUGUAGCGGUGAAAUGCGUAGAUAUAUGGAGGAACACCGGUGGCGAAAGCGGCUCUCUGGUCUGUAACUGACGCUGAGGCUCGAAAGCGUGGGGAGCGAACAGGAUUAGAUACCCUGGUAGUCCACGCCGUAAACGAUGAGUGCUAGGUGUUGGAUCCUUUCCGGGAUUCAGUGCCGCAGCUAACGCAUUAAGCACUCCGCCUGGGGAGUACGACCGCANAGGUUG